Molecule: non-coding RNA, 26 nt
Filed under: Mus musculus (house mouse)
Lineage: Eukaryota; Metazoa; Chordata; Mammalia; Rodentia; Muridae
Source: RNAcentral
UGAGCCACAGAUGAUGCUAAGAUCUC